Molecule: transfer RNA, 66 nt
Filed under: Sternocampsus coriaceus
Lineage: Eukaryota; Metazoa; Arthropoda; Insecta; Coleoptera; Elateridae
Description: tRNA-Asn
Source: RNAcentral
UUAAUUGAAACCAAAACUAGAGGUAUAUUAUUGUUAAUAAUAUUAUUGAGAUCAACUCCAAUUAAA